GUCACAUGGGGACUUGUUGUAAGCCCAAGCAGUAUGUUUUAGCUCUGCUGUGCUUCGGCUCAACGACACGACGUCAGGAUUAGAUCCUCCCUGUCAAGUUUAGGCAGGUAACUGAACCUGUGCUCCACGCCCUCCGCCGCGCUGUUACGCGCAGGUACUGUGGAGGAGGAAGUGGCUGUCACCGUCGUAGCUGUUGUAGUAAUGUCAAUGGAAGUGCAGCUGUGUAUUUGAGAUUAAGCAGCACCCUUUUUCUCUUUACAUUUUAAAUUUAGGAUCAGAAAAUCUUCCUUAGCGAGCAUGCGGCUCCGUGCGACCUGCGCGCUGCUGGGACUUCUGUUGUUCACAGUCUUCGACGCAUCAGUUUGCCUACAGACGGUGGUCCGACCGGACAAAGGCUCGACUGUGACCGUGUCCACUCAGCUGCCUUUGGAUCGGUGUGCUGUGUGUACCGUCAGCGGAGUGAAUGACACACAGAUUUCCUGCCACUCCUCUCUCCCUCUGGUACCUGAGGAGGAGGUUAAAUUGCUGUUCAACUGCUCAGAGUCACUUGAACAAACUUACACUGUCACAAUAACUCGGACCAUCGAAUGCACUAAGGAUGCCUGCAGCCCCACAACUGUAGAAACUCAACCCUCCAUCCUCACAGAGUUCGCCCGAAACUUCACCUGGGAGAUUAAAGCACCUGAGAGGACGGUUGUCCGCCUGGACAUCCUUGGGGACGGACUGGUGGAGACAUCGCUUCCAUGCCCUAAUGGAUUUCAGUAUUCGGCAGCCAUGUCCAAAACGAACAGCAAAGGCCGCACCGAGUACUGUCGAGGGGGUUCUGUCACUUAUUUAGAUCUGGUCGAUCAGGCCGUGGUGUCUGUGCAGGUCAAACCAAAGACUCAGGUGGAACCCGUGCUGUUUAAGGCCUCUGCCGGACCACUCGAGGGCAAAACAAUGGUAAUAACCAUGGAUUCCGGCACGUCUUUACUCAUCAACCGGGAUCCCGCAGAACGCGAGUGUGACAUAUGCUUGAAUUUCGGCUCCACUGUAAAAUGUAGCUCCAAAUCAAAGAGCUUCACCGAUGUUGAAAACCUGUCCCUGGAGUUCGUCUGCCUAAAACCUCAGGACGUGUACACUGUGGAGGUCGAGAAGAAAAUAGAUUGUACCACAAGCUCCUGCAGUCCUUCUGUAGGAAAAGCUUAUCCCGACCUCUUCAAGGACUUUAAAAGAUCCUUCAGAUGGGACAUUAGUGUCCCAGAGAGAACUGUGUUAACUUUGGACUUUCCUGGGAAUGGACUGAAGGAGAUUUCUGGAGAUGAAAAGUGCCAAGAUGGUUUUCAGUAUUCAGUGAGUACAGUUAAAAGUGACGGAAGCAGCAAGAAUAACAUCUACUGCAAAGGCGGAACAGUGUCUCAGCUGGAUCUGUAUGGGGCGACAACUGUGGCUGUUGAAGUUCCCAAAGGAGGAGACCUGGACCAGAAUACAUUCAAUGUCAAAGCAGCACCAAGAGGCAAGGGCCCUUUCUUUCACUUUGUUCGACACCAGUGAAAUAUGGCUAUUUAUGUUUCAGAAAAUAUGCUGCUCGUAAUGGCCUUGUCUGCAAGCUCUCAUUCAGCUCAUAGACUCAGCUCAUAGGAUAUCACAUGAAAAAAACUCUC
This is a long non-coding RNA of Anabas testudineus (climbing perch), 1643 nucleotides long. NCBI's taxonomy places the organism in Eukaryota, Metazoa, Chordata, Actinopteri, Anabantiformes, Anabantidae. The record is from Ensembl.